RNAcentral lists this long non-coding RNA (201 nucleotides) under Malus domestica (apple). RNAcentral's name for it is "long non-coding RNA (MDOM_LNC019869)". The record is from RNAcentral. Lineage: Eukaryota; Viridiplantae; Streptophyta; Magnoliopsida; Rosales; Rosaceae.
UUAUUUCUAUGAAAUUUGAGAAUUUUUAGAAAUAAUUAAUUUUUCCGGCAAGUCGGGGCGGUUGACCGCUGUGCGGCGACGCGUGGGCCGAGGAACCCCCUGACCUUCCUAGGCUAAGUUUGAUACAUUAAUUCCAUAGGUGAAGUCCGAUUGAUGAAAUCAUCGUUUGAACAUAGUUUUGAUAGAGAUCGCCACUUGAUC